Molecule: ribosomal RNA, 449 nt
Filed under: uncultured bacterium
Lineage: Bacteria
Description: partial 16S ribosomal RNA
Rfam family: Bacterial small subunit ribosomal RNA
Source: RNAcentral
AACGAACGCUGGCGGCAGGCCUAACACAUGCAAGUCGAGCGAACCCUUCGGGGUUAGCGGCGGACGGGUGAGUAACGCGUGGGAAUAUGCCCUUCUCUACGGAAUAGUCUCGGGAAACUGGGGGUAAUACCGUAUACGCCCUUUGGGGGAAAGAUUUAUCGGAGAAGGAUUAGCCCGCGUUGGAUUAGGUAGUUGGUGGGGUAAUGGCCUACCAAGCCUACGAUCCAUAGCUGGUUUGAGAGGAUGAUCAGCCACACUGGGACUGAGACACGGCCCAGACUCCUACGGGAGGCAGCAGUGGGGAAUCUUAGACAAUGGGGGCAACCCUGAUCUAGCCAUGCCGCGUGAGUGAUGAAGGCCCUAGGGUUGUAAAGCUCUUUCAGCUGGGAAGAUAAUGACGGUACCAGCAGAAGAAGCCCCGGCUAACUCCGUGCCAGCCGCCGCGGUAA